Salvia miltiorrhiza (redroot sage) is the source of this 637-nucleotide long non-coding RNA. RefSeq lists it as uncharacterized. The record is from RefSeq and is a predicted model, not a curated record. The transcript has 2 exons. Lineage: Eukaryota; Viridiplantae; Streptophyta; Magnoliopsida; Lamiales; Lamiaceae.
UAUAUAAGCUAAUCUCCUCCAAGCAGCUAGGGUUGGUUUUUUCGUGCAUUUAUUCAAGCAGUUGGUGAGCAGCACGUUUUUGGAGAGAAAGAACAUCAUAGCUUGGUUUAUAUGUUCUGGCGGCUGGUAUUUCAAACUCCACAAACCAAAGGCAAAACGUGAGCCCUAGACAUGUCGACGCCGAUCCCAAAAUUGGAGGCGGCGGCCAAGGCAUCGCACACGCAGUCAGCGUUGGCUUCCACCAAAGUCUGAAAUCCCGCGCAACAUGACGCACGCGGCGUCGUUUCGGUGCUGCCCAUGGCCAAGAACCCAAUGCAGUCCACCAUGCCGAACACCAGGGGGUAGCAUGCCGCCGCUCACCACCGCCAUAGCCAAAAUCAAAGACAAUGUCGAUAAAUUCUUCAUUUUUUGCUUCUUUCCUUCACUAAUUGAAAAGAGUUGAUAGGUGAUGAUGAGUGUAGUGAAGGAUUUUGUGAGAAGCCCCAAAGAUUUUGAUCGUCAAAAUGUUUGUUUUGAUAUGAUACGAUAUUUCCUAAGAUUUAUACAGUGUUGUUAUGUUGUUUGUUGAGAUAUGUUGGCAGUGAUGAACAUUUGACUCUCUAUAUCUUAAUGAAUUAGGGUUUCUGGAUUUUGAUUA